RNAcentral lists this ribosomal RNA (301 nucleotides) under uncultured bacterium. RNAcentral's name for it is "partial 16S ribosomal RNA". It matches the Rfam family "Bacterial small subunit ribosomal RNA", at positions 509 to 807 of the family's 1533-position model. The record is from RNAcentral.
CAGUAGCCACGGUAACACGUAGGGCGCAAGCGUUGUCCGGAAUUAUUGGGCGUAAAGAGCUCGUAGGCGGUCUGUCGCGUCUGGUGUGAAAUCCCGAGGCUCAACCUCGGGCUUGCAUCGGGUACGGGCAGACUAGAGUGCGGUAGGGGAGACUGGAAUUCCUGGUGUAGCGGUGGAAUGCGCAGAUAUCAGGAGGAACACCGAUGGCGAAGGCAGGUCUCUGGGCCGCAACUGACGCUGAGGAGCGAAAGCAUGGGGAGCGAACAGGAUUAGAUACCCCUGUAGUCCCUGUCUCUUAUAC